CUGAAGACCUGCGCGUGGCGGGCGAGUCCAGUUAGAAAUGGGAAGCCGCGGGAAAUGCCCCUUCUCCCACUCCACCCACCCACCCGCCGCCUCCCCCGCGCUGCGCCUCGGUGUCUUGUGCUACUGCUCCAGGUCUCCCUUAGCGCUCUGCGGAGUUCCUCAGCUCUCCGGGAUUUUCUCGUGUCCCUCCAGAGUCUUGUCCCGCCCCCCACCCCACUGGGAUCCUCUCCUUGUCCACCAGAGUCUCCCUUUAUCUUUUCCGCUGGGGCUUUCUCCGCCUGCCCCAAACUCUCUCCCAGGAAUGUUCUCUCACUUCCCUUUCGCUACCCUCUCUUCCCCUCUCCUCUGACUCCCCAUUUUCCAUUCGAACUCAUCUCCCCAGAGUGCUGCCCUGACCCCUCCCAAUCCCUGCCGCUCCACUGGGAUCCACCUUACCCCUAGGAGCUUUAUUCUUCUCCUGGCUGCCCUUUCUCCAGUGCUCAGGCUUUUUCUUAAGAACUUCCCUCCUUUUCCCAAGGGUAUCAUCCUCCCAAGAAUGCUGUGGACUCCCCAGCUCAAGACACAGCUCUUCUCCCAACGCACACCCCCUGGGCUCUCCGUACCAGCUUUGUCUCCUGGUCCAGAGGAAGCCAGGCUUGACGCUCCCCCUGAGAUCGGGGCCACUUGGACAUUCUCAUAGAGAGAGGAAGAGGAACAUCAAUGUGCGGUUGCCUCUCAUGUGGCCCCCACUGGGCACCUGGCUCGCAACCCAGGCAUGUGCCCUGACUGGGAAUUGAACCUGCAACCUUUUGGAUCACAGCCCGCACUCAAUCCACGGAGCUACACCAGCGAGAGAGAGGUGAAGAGAAGGAGCGUGAGAGGGAGAGGAUUGCCAACGUGUGGUUGCCUCUCGUACAC
Artibeus jamaicensis (Jamaican fruit-eating bat) is the source of this 897-nucleotide long non-coding RNA. RefSeq lists it as uncharacterized. Lineage: Eukaryota; Metazoa; Chordata; Mammalia; Chiroptera; Phyllostomidae. The transcript is spliced from 3 exons. The record is from RefSeq and is a predicted model, not a curated record.